This 468-nucleotide ribosomal RNA is filed under the name uncultured bacterium. RNAcentral describes it as "partial 16S ribosomal RNA". It matches the Rfam family "Bacterial small subunit ribosomal RNA", at positions 28 to 507 of the family's 1533-position model. The record is from RNAcentral.
GACGAACGCUGGCGGCGGGCUUAACACAUGCAAGUCGAACGGAAAGGCCCUGCUUUUGUGGGGUGCUCGAGUGGCGAACGGGUGAGUAACAUGUGAGUAACCUUGCCUGGACGUGGGGAUAACUGCAGGAAACUGGGGCUAAUACCUGAGAGGAGCGCCUGCUGCAUGGUGGGGGUCGGAACUUUUCGGCGGAUGGGGAUGGACGCGCGGCUUAUUAGCUGGUGGGGUGAGUAGUUGCUUACCAAGGCUUUGACGGGUAGCCGGCCUGAGAGGGUGACCGGCCACAUUGGGACUACGCUACGGCGCAGACUCCUACGGGAGGCAGCAGUGGGGAAUCUUGCCCAGUGGGCGGAAGCCUGAUGCAGCGACGCCGCGUGCGGGAUGACGGCCUUCGUGUUGUAAACCGCUUUCGCCUGUGACGAAGCGUGAGUGACGGUAAUGGGUAAAGAAGCACCGGCUAACUACGUG